GGCAACACAAAUACACCCUCAUCUUAAUAUCAUAUAAAUAACUUGUACAAUAUUUGCUAAAUAUGAGAUGUAAACUCUACCAUCAAGGUUUCUGAUCAUGUUCUUCUUCAGCAGCUGAUGGAGGAAAGAAAGGAAACCAUGUUCUUGGAAACCAUGUUCUUGGGUCUCUCAGUGAAAAGGCAGGCGGUGGUGGCGGAGGUGGCCGUCCGGGAGCCGGAAAUAAAGGAGGAAAUAAAGGAGGCAGUGGCGGAAACGGAAAUAGAAAAGGCGGCGGUGGUGGGGGCGGAGGUGGCGGUGAAGCCAACAGAGGUGGCACCAACCCUACUGGUGGAAGUGGCACCAACCCCACCGGCGGAAGGGGCGGAAAUUGCGGAAGCGGCGGAAGUUGCGGAAGGGGAGGCAACGGUGGCAGCGGGAAAGGAAAUGCCGGUGGUGGAGGAGAAGGUGAAAAGAAUGGUAUAGGGGGCAAUGGGAAAGGAAAAGCUGGUGGUGGAGUGAAGAGCGGUAUGGGAGGAAAACGGAAGGGGAGAGUCGGUGGGCUUGGAAAAGGGUACGGCCAAGGAAACCAGAAUGGCGGCCAAAAGAAGAGUGAGUUGUUGAAAGAGCCAGGGCUGGAACUGGAGAGUUGCUGCUCUAUAAUUUUCUUUGCUCCACAGACUCCAUCAUACCUUUUAGGGGGCCUGAAAUUCAGUGCAUUCAACAUGAAUGCACAGAUGCUGCUGCCCUUGCCGCACUUGACUGCAACGUGCUCAGUCGAGCUGGCAAGCCCCGGCACAUUGCAGAGAGCGGAUGAACUUCCGACGAGGCUGGCGCGGCAGAACGACUCGAUAUCCCUGCCCUCUCUGCAUUCGAAGCCGUCUACCGGUGGGAUGUCGAGUUUGUAGAUUCCGUGUUGGUCGGUGAUGCGGUCUGCCGUGAUGGUGAUGUCUUCAUUAGAGGUGGAGUUUGCUCUGAACUUGCAUUCUACAUGGACACUGGCACCGGGAAGGAAGUAGCUGUGGUUGGAGAAGCUGUUGAUGUAGCACGUGUCGCAGAAGACAGCGCCGAUGACGGUGAUAUUUGAGAUGGGGUUGGGUUGGGCUCCGGGGAGGGUGGCGGUGGAAAGGAGUGUGAGGAGGAGAGGGAGGAGGCUUGGAUUCAU
This 1141-nucleotide unclassified non-coding RNA is filed under the name Hevea brasiliensis (rubber tree). The record is from RNAcentral. Lineage: Eukaryota; Viridiplantae; Streptophyta; Magnoliopsida; Malpighiales; Euphorbiaceae.